UACGGAGGGUGCAAGCGUUAUCCGGAUUCACUGGGUUUAAAGGGUGCGUAGGUGGGUCUGUAAGUCAGUGGUGAAAUCUCCGGGCUUAACUCGGAAAGGUCAACUGAUACUGUGCGACUAGAGUGCAGAAGGGGCAACUGGAAUUCUCGGUGUAGCGGUGAAAUGCGUAGAUAUCGAGAGGAACACCUGCGGCGAAGGCGGGUUGCUGGGCUGACACUGACGCUGAUGCGCGAAAGCCAGGGGAGCGAACGGG
This 253-nucleotide ribosomal RNA is filed under the name uncultured bacterium. RNAcentral describes it as "partial 16S ribosomal RNA". It matches the Rfam family "Bacterial small subunit ribosomal RNA", at positions 524 to 776 of the family's 1533-position model. The record is from RNAcentral.